AUCUUUUUCUUUUUUUUUUUUAAAUAACUGUUAAUUUAGGAAACAGUACAGUGCAAUAUCUGAAUUAAUUUACAUUGAAGCUUUAAGUUAGUUUUUACAGUUACUGGGGUAAACUCCAUGUUUUGCUUCCUUUUAUCAAAAGCUUGGGUAAACAUCAUGUGUCAAUGUUUGUUGAUUAAAAAAUUUGACUAAAACGCGUACCUUGGCUUUUUCUUGGCUCUUUUCCCUAAUAGUCAUUUUAAAAUGCAAGAUUCUCUUCAUUUUUCUUGUCAAAGUCUUGCUUGAUGUUGUCAACUUCUCCAAGAUGUAUUCUUCAUAUAAGUAUUUUUCUUUAAUAGUUUGACUCCAACAGUCACUGUGGUCUUAAAGGGUAGACAACCAUUUUCUUUCUUCUUCCUCUCUCAUUUCUUACCUGCAUUGCCUCAUCAUGCAGGCUAUUAUGAUGUCAAGCAGAAUAUAAGACACAGGACCAGCAGUUAUCAGAUCAAUAAUUUUUCCUGUAAUAGUACUAACAUGCUAAUAUAUUCAUGUAGGACCCAAAGCAUGGAAACUGGUGGCUAGAAUUUGGUUCAGGACUUCUGGUAGGAUAUUGGCCAGCUUUCUUGUUCAGUCAUUUAAGAA
This 621-nucleotide unclassified non-coding RNA is filed under the name Hevea brasiliensis (rubber tree). The record is from RNAcentral. Lineage: Eukaryota; Viridiplantae; Streptophyta; Magnoliopsida; Malpighiales; Euphorbiaceae.